GCAACGCGAGGGCCAGGGUCGGCGUGAAUAAGGAGGGUGCAAGCGUUAGUCGGAAUGACUGGGCGUAAAGCGCACGCAGGCGGGUGGAUAAGUUAGAUGUGAAAGCCCCGGGCUCAACCUGGGAAUUGCAUUUAAAACUGUCCAGCUAGAGUCUUGUAGAGGGGGGUAGAAUUCCAGGUGUAGCGGUGAAAUGCGUAGAGAUCUGGAGGAAUACCGGUGGCGAAGGCGGCCCCCUGGACAAAGACUGACGCUCAGGUGCGAAAGCGUGGGGAGCAAACAGGAUUAGAUACCCGAGUAGUC
This 300-nucleotide ribosomal RNA is filed under the name uncultured Lactobacillus sp. RNAcentral describes it as "bacterial SSU rRNA". It matches the Rfam family "Bacterial small subunit ribosomal RNA", at positions 490 to 795 of the family's 1533-position model. The record is from RNAcentral. Lineage: Bacteria; Bacillati; Bacillota; Bacilli; Lactobacillales; Lactobacillaceae.